RNAcentral lists this ribosomal RNA (310 nucleotides) under uncultured bacterium. Its description in RNAcentral is "bacterial SSU rRNA". It matches the Rfam family "Bacterial small subunit ribosomal RNA", at positions 30 to 334 of the family's 1533-position model. The record is from RNAcentral.
AUUGAACGCUGGCGGCAGGCUUAACACAUGCAAGUCGAACGGUAACAUAAAGAAGCUUGCUUCUUUGAUGACGAGUGGCGGACGGGUGAGUAAUGCUUGGGAAUCUAGCUUAUGGAGGGGGAUAACUACGGGAAACUGUAGCUAAUACCGCGUAGUAUCGAGAGAUGAAAGUGUGGGACCUUCGGGCCACAUGCCAUAGGAUGAGCCCAAGUGGGAUUAGGUAGUUGGUGAGGUAAAGGCUCACCAAGCCGACGAUCUCUAGCUGGUCUGAGAGGAUGACCAGCCACACUGGGACUGAGACACGGCCCAG